AGUGAACGCUGGCGGUAGGCCUAACACAUGCAAGUCGAACGGCAGCACAGUAAGAGCUUGCUCUUACGGGUGGCGAGUGGCGGACGAGUGAGGAAUACAUCGAAAUCUACUUUUUCGUGGGGGAUAACGUAGGGAAACUUACGCUAAUACCGCAUACGACCUACGGGUGAAAGCAGGGGAUCUUCGGACCUUGCGCGAUUGAAUGAGCCGAUGUCGGAUUAGCUAGUUGGCGGGGUAAAGGCCCACCAAGGCGAUGAUCCGUAGCUGGUCUGAGAGGAUGAUCAGCCACACUGGAACUGAGACACGGUCCAGACUCCUACGGGAGGCAGCAGUGGGGAAUAUUGGACAAUGGGCGCAAGCCUGAUCCAGCCAUACCGCGUGGGUGAAGAAGGCCCUCGGGUUGUAAAGCCCUUUUGUUGGGAAAGAAAAGCAGCAGGUUAAUACGCCGCUGUUCUGACGGUACCCAAAGAAUAAGCACCGGCUAACUUCGUG
Molecule: ribosomal RNA, 492 nt
Filed under: uncultured bacterium
Lineage: Bacteria
Description: partial 16S ribosomal RNA
Rfam family: Bacterial small subunit ribosomal RNA
Source: RNAcentral